This 1208-nucleotide ribosomal RNA is filed under the name uncultured bacterium. RNAcentral's name for it is "bacterial SSU rRNA". It matches the Rfam family "Bacterial small subunit ribosomal RNA", at positions 8 to 1220 of the family's 1533-position model. The record is from RNAcentral.
AGAGUUUGAUCAUGGCUCAGAUUGAACGCUGGCGGAAUGCUUUACACAUGCAAGUCGAACGAUGAACCUUAGCUUGCUAAGGGGAUUAGUGGCGAACGGGUGAGUAAUAUAUCGGAACGUGCCUUGUAAUGGGGGAUAACUAGUCGAAAGAUUAGCUAAUACCGCAUACGCCCUGAGGGGGAAAGUAGGGGAUCUUCGGACCUUACGUUAUAAGAGCGGCCGAUAUCUGAUUAGCUAGUUGGUGGGGUAAUGGCCUACCAAGGCGACGAUCAGUAGCUGGUCUGAGAGGACGACCAGCCACACUGGAACUGAGACACGGUCCAGACUCCUACGGGAGGCAGCAGUGGGGAAUUUUGGACAAUGGGCGCAAGCCUGAUCCAGCCAUUCCGCGUGAGUGAAGAAGGCCUUCGGGUUGUAAAGCUCUUUCGCAAGGGAAGAAAACUUACCAUCGAAUAAAUGGUGAGGCUGACGGUACCUUGAUAAGAAGCACCGGCUAACUACGUGCCAGCAGCCGCGGUAAUACGUAGGGUGCGAGCGUUAAUCGGAAUUACUGGGCGUAAAGCGUGCGCAGGCGGUUUGGCAAGUCAGAUGUGAAAUCCCCGAGCUCAACUUGGGAACUGCGUUUGAAACUGCCAGACUAGAAUAUGUCAGAGGGGGGUAGAAUUCCACGUGUAGCAGUGAAAUGCGUAGAGAUGUGGAGGAAUACCAAUGGCGAAGGCAGCCCCCUGGGAUAAUAUUGACGCUCAUGCACGAAAGCGUGGGGAGCAAACAGGAUUAGAUACCCUGGUAGUCCACGCCCUAAACGAUGUCUACUAGUUGUUGGUGGAGUAAAAUCCAUGAGUAACGCAGCUAACGCGUGAAGUAGACCGCCUGGGGAGUACGGUCGCAAGAUUAAAACUCAAAGGAAUUGACGGGGCCCGCACAAGCGGUGGAUUAUGUGGAUUAAUUCGAUGCAACGCGAAAACCUUACCUGGCCUUGACAUGCCACUACGAAGCAGAGAUGCAUUAGUGCCCGUAGGAAAGUGGACCAGGUGCUGCAUGGCUGUCGUCAGCUCGUGUCUGAGAUGUUGGGUAAGUCCCGCCACGAGCGCACCCUGCCAUAUGCCAUCAUUUAGUGGCACUUAUGGACUGCCGGUGACAACCGGAGAAGGUGGGGGAAUGAACCCUCCAGAGUUCUCCUAUGCCCUUAUGAGCGCAGCGGCUUCACG